This 253-nucleotide ribosomal RNA is filed under the name uncultured bacterium. Its description in RNAcentral is "partial 16S ribosomal RNA". It matches the Rfam family "Bacterial small subunit ribosomal RNA", at positions 524 to 776 of the family's 1533-position model. The record is from RNAcentral.
UACGUAGGGUGCGAGCGUUGUCCGGAAUUAUUGGGCGUAAAGGGCUCGUAGGCGGUUUGUCGCGUCGGGAGUGAAAACCUCGGGCUUAACUCGGGGCUUGCUUUCGAUACGGGCAGACUGGAGGUAUGCAGGGGAGAACGGAAUUCCUGGUAUAGCGGUGAAAUGCGCAGAUAUCAGGAGGAACACCGGUGGCGAAGGCGGUUCUCUGGGCAUGACCUGACGCUGAGGAGCGAAAGUGUGGGGAGCGAACAGG